Molecule: transfer RNA, 63 nt
Filed under: marine eukaryotic metagenome
Rfam family: tRNA
About the family: Transfer RNA (tRNA) molecules are approximately 80 nucleotides in length. Their secondary structure includes four short double-helical elements and three loops (D, anti-codon, and T loops).
Source: RNAcentral
CGGUAGCUCAAUGGUAGAGCAGUUGACUCUUAAUCAAUUGGUUGAAGGUUCGAGUCCUUCCCG